Molecule: long non-coding RNA, 509 nt
Filed under: Heterocephalus glaber (naked mole-rat)
Lineage: Eukaryota; Metazoa; Chordata; Mammalia; Rodentia; Bathyergidae
Description: lncRNA (ENSHGLG00100044651.1)
Source: RNAcentral
CUCUCAACAGUGCUGCAUUGGGAGCCAACCCUCGAAUAGACGAUUUUUGAGGACUAGUACUUGGAAGAGAUGAGAGAAGGUUGCAAGGAGGUGAGAAGUAUAUGAAUCAGUUCCUGGGGUGUCCUGAAGCUCUGAAGAAAAUGACUUGAAACAAUUCCAGCUCUCACUUUUUUCCUUCAAUCAAUUCCCAGCUGGGCUGUGACAGAAGGCAGAUGAUAAGAAAAGGAAGGAGAGCAAUAAAGCGCAGCCGCUUUACAAGAGAAGAAAAAGUUUCCCAGAGGGAAGUAAAGAAGGAAAGCCCCCCCAAAAAACCUAGGCACAGAGCUUGCUUGAAGGAGAAAGAUUACCAUGAAAUCUUUAAAUGUUCUAAACACCAUCAGUAACAGCUGUAAAGGAGUGGGAACAGGUAUAAUAGGGAUUAGUGGAAAGAGCUUCACUGUAGCCAUGUACUUUUCUGUAUUAUUUAGUAUUCCUCUCUUUGAAGAACUGCCUUAUGAGUUGAAUAUGAA